AACAGAUAAUGAGUUUUAACUCGCAAAUAUUCCAAACUCAGGCAAUAUUUUCCCCGGAAACUAUACCAGGUAGUUCGACUAAUAGUAUAGAAAAAAAUGAAGAAGUUCUCAAAGCGAUAAAAACUGUGGAAAAUAAAUUUGAUUGCCUCUCAGCCGAAAUCGGGAUGUUAAAAGAAGUUAUGUGCAAACAAUCGGUACUAUUGGCAAAGAUGACAUGAUACGAAACUCUCUCAUUUUCCCUCAAACCGAAUUCCCUGAUCUAUCAUUUUCAGUUGGUAGCAAUGCGAGUUGAAGGAAUUUUUGACAGCUUAUGUCAGAAAAGGCGGGAUGCCAGAAAUAAUCCCGCUAAAACUAUUGAGAAAAUCAGUGCGAAAAUUUACUUGACGGUGAAACAAGCUUUUAAACAAUUAUUUAAAAAGUCAAACGUCGGUAUUACUGAAACGCUAUUAUAUAAUAUUACAAAAGAAACGCAAAAAUGCCUAAAGUUAGGAAGUGUGUGGUUGGAUGCGAGGGCGGACAGCAUUUUUUCAACUUUCCCUGUAAGGAAAAGGAUGAAGACAGUUAUAUGGGUGAUAUAGGCCUACUAGGGAACCGAACACCAAAAAAUAACAUCGGUAACGCGCUAAUUGCAUACCUCAGUGGUAGUGUGGAAACUCCAAAACACCCAAAAUUGAUUUCUAAAAUACCCAAUCUGAUUUCUUCGGUAGUGGCAUCACUGCCAAAUGUUAUAAAAAAUGUGGAUUUUGACAGCGCUCUCACAAAACAAAGAGUUUCGUAUCAUUUCAUCUUUGUUACUGGAAGCGAUUGGUAAGACCUUACGUCCAUCUAGGAUCGACUUGCAAUUUUUACCAAUUAAUUCUAUGGUGAAGCUAGAUUCAGCAGAAGAGCUGAUUAAAAACAAACCGGAAUCAGAAGUGAUUAGCUACAUAAAGUUCAGGAUAAAUAAUAUCAAACUGGAAAAAGCCUUAACAAAAAUAUUUGACGAUAACGUUUUGCUGAAAAUAAAUUGGGGUGGCUCGAAAAACAUAACUGCGAUAAAUAGAUACAGACUGUUUAACUUUUUCUUUUUCGAAUAAGUUAAAGAAAAAUAUUCGUCUUACGGGGAUUUUGAAAAAGCGAUUAAACUGGCCUUUCGAAAAUAUAAGGCAACUUUUUACCGAAAGAUAUAUUCAAUAAAAUCUGCUUCGUCUCAGAAAAAUUCCUAAAUAAUAAAGUAUGUAGCUAUUUACUUGAUUUUAAAUCAUUAUAACCAUGUAUAUACUGUAUAUUAUUUAUGUGAAUUACUAAUACUUAUAUUUU
Molecule: RNA transcript, 1299 nt
Organism: Zeugodacus cucurbitae (melon fly)
Lineage: Eukaryota; Metazoa; Arthropoda; Insecta; Diptera; Tephritidae
Exons: 6
Source: RefSeq, a predicted model, not a curated record